Molecule: ribosomal RNA, 1077 nt
Filed under: Flavobacterium sp.
Lineage: Bacteria; Pseudomonadati; Bacteroidota; Flavobacteriia; Flavobacteriales; Flavobacteriaceae
Description: bacterial SSU rRNA
Rfam family: Bacterial small subunit ribosomal RNA
Source: RNAcentral
GGUUCUUCGGAACCAGAGACCGGCGCACGGGUGCGUAACGCGUAUGCAAUCUACCUUUUACAGAGGGAUAGCCCAGAGAAAUUUGGAUUAAUACCUCAUAGUAUAGCUCUACCGCAUGGUAGUACUAUUAAAGUCACAACGGUAAAAGAUGAGCAUGCGUCCCAUUAGCUAGUUGGUAAGGUAACGGCUUACCAAGGCUACGAUGGGUAGGGGUCCUGAGAGGGAGAUCCCCCACACUGGUACUGAGACACGGACCAGACUCCUACGGGAGGCAGCAGUGAGGAAUAUUGGACAAUGGGCGCAAGCCUGAUCCAGCCAUGCCGCGUGCAGGAUGACGGUCCUAUGGAUUGUAAACUGCUUUUAUACGAGAAGAAACACUCCUUCGUGAAUGAGCUUGACGGUAUCGUAAGAAUAAGGAUCGGCUAACUCCGUGCCAGCAGCCGCGGUAAUACGGAGGAUCCAAGCGUUAUCCGGAAUCAUUGGGUUUAAAGGGUCCGUAGGCGGUUUGGUAAGUCAGUGGUGAAAGCCCAUCGCUCAACGGUGGAACGGCCAUUGAUACUGCCAGACUUGAAUUAUUAGGAAGUAACUAGAAUAUGUAGUGUAGCGGUGAAAUGCUUAGAGAUUACAUGGAAUACCAAUUGCGAAGGCAGGUUACUACUAAUUGAUUGACGCUGAUGGACGAAAGCGUGGGUAGCGAACAGGAUUAGAUACCCUGGUAGUCCACGCCGUAAACGAUGGAUACUAGCUGUUGGGAGCAAUCUCAGUGGCUAAGCGAAAGUGAUAAGUAUCCCACCUGGGGAGUACGUUCGCAAGAAUGAAACUCAAAGGAAUUGACGGGGGCCCGCACAAGCGGUGGAGCAUGUGGUUUAAUUCGAUGAUACGCGAGGAACCUUACCAAGGCUUAAAUGUAGAUUGACCGUUUUGGAAACAGAACUUUCGCAAGACAAUUUACAAGGUGCUGCAUGGUUGUCGUCAGCUCNNGCCGUGAGGUGUCAGGUUAAGUCCUAUAACGAGCGCAACCCCUUGUUGUUAGUUGCCAGCCGAGUCAAGUCGGGGAACUCUAACAAAGACUGGCCA